AAUUUUGAUAGGAUGUGUUUUCAUAGG
RNAcentral lists this non-coding RNA (27 nucleotides) under Cricetulus griseus (Chinese hamster). The record is from RNAcentral. Lineage: Eukaryota; Metazoa; Chordata; Mammalia; Rodentia; Cricetidae.